UGAUCCCUCUGACAAGAUGUAACUCUCAUAAAGAAACAAUUCAGGGUCAACUGAAGGUCAGGAACUCUGGAGAAUAUACUCUUGUCUUCGACAACUCCUUCUCAAGGUUCCUCUCGAAGAAAGUCCAGUACAAACUGAGUAUAGAGAAGCCAGAGGUCUGCAAUGGAAGUGGUUGUUCUUCAUAGGAAAUCGAAUCACGCACACUUGUGUCUGUACCAGGUCACGGGACGGCUUGUCCAGGAAUAUUAUCAAGCCCAACUUCUAAUGCUGCUUUCAAUGAUUUACAUGGGCUGCAUCCAGUAAUGCUCAGAUGCCGGUUGCCCGUGGUUACGGCUGCGCUGCAGAGGGCGAGCACCGUUGAGCUCA
Molecule: long non-coding RNA, 366 nt
Organism: Sinocyclocheilus rhinocerous
Lineage: Eukaryota; Metazoa; Chordata; Actinopteri; Cypriniformes; Cyprinidae
Exons: 3
Source: RefSeq, a predicted model, not a curated record